RNAcentral lists this ribosomal RNA (885 nucleotides) under Triticum aestivum (bread wheat). Its description in RNAcentral is "partial small subunit ribosomal RNA". Lineage: Eukaryota; Viridiplantae; Streptophyta; Magnoliopsida; Poales; Poaceae. The record is from RNAcentral.
AUGGAUCCUUCAAAAGCAUCGAAGAGGCCUGUUGGAAUUCUAUUUGUGAAGGUUGUAAGAGCUCAAAAUCUGGAAAAGAAGGGCCUGUUGGGUAGUAAAUCAGAUCCGUACGUGAAACUUAAGAUGUCGGAUGACAGGCUUCCAUCCAAGAAAACAAGAGUAAAGCGCAGCAAUCUCAAUCCGGAGUGGAAUGAAGAAUUCAAAUUUGUUGUGAUAGAUCUAGAGAACCAGUCGCUGGAUGUUAAUGUCUUCCACCGGGCACAGGUUGGUAAACAUGUGAAGAUGGGCAUGAACAAGGUUCUGUUGAAAGAACUUGCCCCGGAGGAGACUCAAGUUUCGACUCUUAACUUACUGAAGACCAUGGACCCAAAUGAUGUACAAAAUGAGAAACCUCGUGGUCAGAUUACUUUGGAGGUGACAUAUAAGCCUUUCAAGCAAGAAGAAGAUAUGGAGGAAGAAAGCAUGGAUGGUACUGAAGAAGCACAGAAAGCUCUAGACAAUGGUCCACCUGGUGGUGGGCUGCUUUUGGUCGUUGUUCACGAAGCUCAAGAUCUUGAAGGGAAGCAUCACACAAACCCAUACGCAAAGAUAAUCUUUAAAGGAGAAGAGAAGAAAACAAAGGUGAUCAAGAAGAACAGGGAUCCACGUUGGGAGGAUGAAUUUGAGUUUGCUUGCGAGGAACCACCUACAAAUGAUAAGUUGCAUGUUGAAGUCCUAAGUAAACCUGGAAAAAUAGGAGGAAUAUUACAUGGCAAGGAAACCUUAGGCUUCAUUUAUAUAGCCCUGGCAGGCGUGAUCAGCAACAGGCGGACCAACGAAAAGUACCGUCUCAUCGGCUCGAAAAAUGGGCAGAUUCAAAUCGAGUUGCAGUGGAGAACUUCAUAG